CUUGAGGCCAUUCUUUUCCAAUCAAGCAAAUGUAGAGAUAAAGAAAAUGUAACUACAAGGUCGGGCCUGGUUAGUACUUGGCUGGGAGACUGCCUGGGAAUACCAGGUGCUGUCGGGU
This 118-nucleotide ribosomal RNA is filed under the name Otolemur garnettii (small-eared galago). The record is from RNAcentral. Lineage: Eukaryota; Metazoa; Chordata; Mammalia; Primates; Galagidae.